AAAAUUAAUUUUCACAUCCAAACUAUUAAAUAAUUUGAUCUUUAUUAAAAAUUGUGAAGAAGGUACUCUAGGGAUAACAGCGUUAUAGUUAAUAAAGCUCUUAUUUAAAUAACUGUUUGCGACCCUCGAUGUUGAAUUGCGGAAUUAGUUAAAGCAGAAAUUAAACUAAUUGGGUCUGUUCGACCCUAUUA
Molecule: ribosomal RNA, 191 nt
Filed under: Acartia clausii
Lineage: Eukaryota; Metazoa; Arthropoda; Copepoda; Calanoida; Acartiidae
Description: partial 16S large subunit ribosomal RNA
Source: RNAcentral